This 107-nucleotide small nuclear RNA is filed under the name Salvator merianae (Argentine black and white tegu). Lineage: Eukaryota; Metazoa; Chordata; Lepidosauria; Squamata; Teiidae. The record is from RNAcentral.
GUGCUCACUUCGGCAGCUCAUAUCCUAAAAUUGGAAUGAUACAGAGAAGAUUAGCAUGGCCCCUGCGCAAGGAUGACACACAAAUUUAUGAAGCAUUACACAGAUUA